Molecule: ribosomal RNA, 526 nt
Filed under: uncultured bacterium
Lineage: Bacteria
Description: bacterial SSU rRNA
Rfam family: Bacterial small subunit ribosomal RNA
Source: RNAcentral
CACGUAGGGGGCGAGCGUUGUCCGGAAUCACUGGGCGUAAAGGGCGUGUAGGCGGCUAAGUAAGUCAGGUGUGAAAUCCCUCGGCUCAACCGAGGAAUAGCACAUGAAACUAUCUAGCUUGAGUGCAGGAGAGGGGAGCGGAAUUCCCGGUGUAGCGGUGAAAUGCGUAGAUAUCGGGAAGAACACCGGUGGCGAAGGCGGCUCUCUGGACUGUAACUGACGCUGAGGCGCGAAAGCUGGGGUAGCGAACGGGAUUAGAUACCCCGGUAGUCCCAGCCGUAAACUAUGGGUACUAGGUGUUGGCAGUUAACCUGUCAGUGCCGCAGCAAACGCAUUAAGUAUCCCGCCUGGGGAGUACGGCCGCAAGGCUGAAACUCAAAGGAAUUGACGGGGGCCCGCACAAGCAGUGGAGCAUGUGGUUUAAUUCGAAGCAACGCGAAGAACCUUACCGGGGAUUGACAUCUUGUCGAACUUGGUAGAGAUACCGAGGUGCCUUCGGGAACGUCAAGACAGGUGGUGCAUGGUU